RNAcentral lists this ribosomal RNA (253 nucleotides) under uncultured bacterium. RNAcentral describes it as "partial 16S ribosomal RNA". It matches the Rfam family "Bacterial small subunit ribosomal RNA", at positions 524 to 776 of the family's 1533-position model. The record is from RNAcentral.
AACGUAGGAGGCGAGCGUUAUCCGGAUUUACUGGGCGUAAAGCGCGUGUAGGCGGCUCGGAAAGUUGGAUGUGAAAGCUCCUGGCUUAACUGGGAGAGGUCGUUCAAAACUACCGAGCUUGAGGAUGAGAGAGGGAGGCGGAAUUCCGGGUGUAGUGGUGAAAUGCGUAGAUAUCCGGAGGAACACCAGUGGCGAAAGCGGCCUCCUGGCUCAUAACUGACGCUCAGACGCGAAAGCUAGGGUAGCAAACGGG